CCUACGGGUGGCAGCAGUGGGGAAUAUUGGGCAAUGGGCGCAAGCCUGACCCAGCAACGCCGCGUGAAGGAAGAAGGCUUUCGGGUUGUAAACUUCUUUUCUCAGGGACGAAGCAAGUGACGGUACCUGAGGAAUAAGCCUCGGCUAACUACGUGCCAGCAGCCGCGGUAAUACGUAGGUGGCAAGCGUUAUCCGGAUUCACUGGGUGUAAAGGGCGUGUAGGCGGGACUGCAAGUCAGAUGUGAAAACCACGGGCUCAACCUGAGACCUGCAUUUGAAACUGUAGUUCUUGAGUACUGGAGAGGCAGACGGAAUUCGUGGUGUAGCGGUGAAAUGCGUAGAUAUUAGGAGGAACACCAGUGGCGAAGGCGGUCUGCUGGACAGCAACUGACGCUGAGGCGCGAAAGCGUGGGGAGCAAACAGGAUUAGAUACCCGUGUAGUC
This 443-nucleotide ribosomal RNA is filed under the name uncultured bacterium. RNAcentral describes it as "partial 16S ribosomal RNA". It matches the Rfam family "Bacterial small subunit ribosomal RNA", at positions 338 to 795 of the family's 1533-position model. The record is from RNAcentral.